Brassica napus (rape) is the source of this 2053-nucleotide long non-coding RNA. RefSeq lists it as uncharacterized. NCBI's taxonomy places the organism in Eukaryota, Viridiplantae, Streptophyta, Magnoliopsida, Brassicales, Brassicaceae. The record is from RefSeq and is a predicted model, not a curated record. The transcript has 2 exons.
AUUCCAAACUAUGCAAUUCUUUAUAGGUUAUAGUUAGCAAGCUUUCGGAGAUUCUAAAAUACUAUAGACAGAGCUGUUCAUUGUGGUUGUUCACUACGGAGAGAGUCUGUCCAUCAAGAAUGUCAUUCUCGUACAUGCAGAAACGUCUGUCGAUCCAAGUGUUUUGGGGAAAAUUUCAUCGUGCAAUCAUUAUAUGUGAAACUAUGUUGCAGGUACUUUAAUCAUUAUAUGUAAUAGAAUUAUAAAUAAUAUAAUGUGUGUUAUCCAGUGUUAAAAAAGUUGUUUAAAACAUGUUUACAUCUUAUAUGAUGUUAAUGUGUACACCAAUUUCACAACACUAACUUCACAAUGUACGUGUACAACAUACAUAAAAGGCUCUCAGCUUUAUACUCUCUCCGUUCCUUAGACCAUCUCCAAUGUAUUUUGCUAUUUUCACCUCUAAAAUAGGGGAACUCUAUAAUAGAAGUGAGAUAUGCUCCAAUGUAUUCCCCUAAAAUAGUAAUCUCUAAAAUAUAGAGUAAAAAAUAGAGGAAUGCUAUUUCUUCCUCUAUAAAUAGAGGAAAAAAUAGAGAUCUCUAUUAUAGAGGAAGAAAUAUAGAUGCGUUGGAGCAAUUUCACCUCUAAAUGCUAUUAUAGAGGUGAAAAUAGCAAUGGGUUGGAGAUGCUCUUAAUAAUAGACUUUCUAAAAAAAUAUUUGUUUCAGAAAGAUGUAUUUUUGUGUUUUGUAUGAAAAAAUUGUAAACUCCAAGAAAAUUAAUUGACUUUAUUAAAUCACUAUUGGUUUAAAGUUAUUGAAAAUUGAAAAUUGAAAAUUACAGAAAACGAUACAUUUAUUAUGGUAGUUUAAUGUGUUUUAUUAAUAUGUGUGAAAAUACUAAAAAGUCUAUUUUUUAAGAACGGAGGGAGUAUGAUUUUUCCAAAAAGUCAACAAUCUUUUUUGAGUCAUCUUGUUGUGUGUACUUCUGCAUAUAAUUACUGAAAUCCGUAGCUUUUAUUCCUUAUUGUUGCUAGUUUUCAUCCAGUUGUUAGGUAGCUGUUGAGGAGCAUUACAUCACAUCCACGAGGACAAGAUCUGCUAUGAUUUGUUCAAAAAAUAUAUUGUUGAUUUUUCUUAUUUUUAAUAGCCUUGACGUUGCAUAUAUAAGAAAAGUUGAUGUAACUGAGAAACUUGAGAACAAGAAAUUUGCAAAUUUCAUUAUUUUCUCCACUUCCUUUUUUUUUUUCUGUAUCUGCUGCCUUCACUCUCUUGGGAUAUAUAAAAAAACAUAAAAAUAUCUGAGAGAAUAGGUUUAGAGUUUAUAGGGUCAGAUCGUUUUUGUUGGUUUGAUCCUGAAGAGCAAGAUGCGUUUGAAUGUGUGAUAUAGUAUCUGCAUAAUGACUGAGCCAAACCCGAUGUGGGACAAAUAGAGCGCAAGUUCUGACCCUUUACCCCUCCUGAAAUUAGUCCAGAUGUUUCUUACACGUUAUGUCUCACUGAUUUUUGUUUGCAAGGGGAUCUUGGGCAUGAUUUUGACUCGAAAAUAAACUUAACACGUUACACGAAUAGCCCACCAAAGGGCAAGCGGGUUUGUUUGUUGGAGGUCUCUCUCAAGGUGAUCAAUUAUUGAUGAAAGAAGCUAAACAUAUCUGAGGGUCCUUCUUUGGAUAAACAAGAAAAUGGAUCGUGUCCAAAGAUGAUUUAUGUUUUGUUGAUCUUGUUCUGGUUUGGUUUUGAACAGCUUAGUGUUGCUCUGUAAUGGAUGCAUAACCAGUAGAUAUGUCAGGAUAUUAAAAGGAACCGUUAUUUUGCCUCGUGAUAGCGAUGUUCCUUCGAAUCUUCUGACAUAUCUACUGCUUAUGCCACCAUUACAGAACAGCAACAAGCUGUUCAGAACCAAACACAGAACAAGAACAACGGAACAUAAAAUCUGAUUAUCAGACACACGACCCUUGGGAAAUUCUUUUGUAAAACUUGAAUCUGGAACUCGAAGAAUCAUGUUUAUUGGAAAAAAAAUGUAAUUUCUUUUUGUAUUAGCACAUUUUAUUACAAUAAUCCAAUUAAAGUAUUCCAUAA